AAAGAGUGAAUUUUGAUGAAAAAAAAUUAAUAUAUUUGAUGUUAGAUAUUAUUAUGUAAGUGUGGGUGUGAAGAAAAGGUAGAAAGAAAAGAGGAAAGAGAGGAAGAAGAAAAAAAAGAAUCCUGAGAGUGAGAGGAAAAAGAAGAAAACGUGGAGAGAGAAAAGGAGGAAAGAGAGAAGAGAGAAAAAAAAAGGAAAAGAAGUGGAGAGAGAAAAAAAGAAAAAAGAAAAAGAAAAAUGAAAAUAAAACCAAGUGGUACUCCACCAAUGGCUAAAGGAGUUUUUUUUAAAUGAUUUUAAAAUAAAAACAAAUGACUUACUGAGUGAAUGGUAAAAAAAUUAAAUAAUUUUAUUCUUACUAUUUAAAUUUUUAAAAAAAUGAAUAAAAUCAAAUUGACAACGUAGAUAAUUCUAAAUAAUU
RNAcentral lists this long non-coding RNA (421 nucleotides) under Lathyrus oleraceus (garden pea). Its description in RNAcentral is "Pisum sativum (pea) long non-coding RNA (PSAT_LNC010713)". The record is from RNAcentral. Lineage: Eukaryota; Viridiplantae; Streptophyta; Magnoliopsida; Fabales; Fabaceae.